ACAGCAGCAGCCACGGUAAUACAGAGGGUGCGAGCGUUAAUCGGAUUUACUGGGCGUAAAGCGUGCGUAGGCGGCUUUUUAAGUCGGAUGUGAAAUCCCUGAGCUUAACUUAGGAAUUGCAUUCGAUACUGGGAAGCUAGAGUAUGGGAGAGGAUGGUAGAAUUCCAGGUGUAGCGGUGAAAUGCGUAGAGAUCUGGAGGAAUACCGAUGGCGAAGGCAGCCAUCUGGCCUAAUACUGACGCUGAGGUACGAAAGCAUGGGGAGCAAACAGGAUUAGAUACCCCCGUAGUCCCUGUCUCUUAUAA
This 305-nucleotide ribosomal RNA is filed under the name uncultured bacterium. RNAcentral describes it as "partial 16S ribosomal RNA". It matches the Rfam family "Bacterial small subunit ribosomal RNA", at positions 506 to 809 of the family's 1533-position model. The record is from RNAcentral.